Molecule: non-coding RNA, 84 nt
Organism: Vibrio sp. MEBiC08052
Lineage: Bacteria; Pseudomonadati; Pseudomonadota; Gammaproteobacteria; Vibrionales; Vibrionaceae
Source: Rfam
GAUUAUGGUGAGCUGGGUUGGGCUGACUCAGUCAGGCUGCAACCUGUGGUGCGGUAGUUCGAACCCUCCCAGUUCACCACCUCU